AAAUAGUUAAAUUAAUUUAAUUCAUUUAAUAAAAAUUUAAUUUAAUUAUUUAAUCCUUUCGUACUAAAAUAAAUUAUUUAAUAAAAGAUAGAAACCAACCUGGCUUACACCGGUUUGAACUCAAAUCAUGUAAGAAUUUAAAGGUCGAACAGACCUAAUACUUAAAAUUUUGCACCUAAGAUUAAUCUUAAUUCAACAUCGAGGUCGCAAACUAAUUUUCAAAUUUGAACUUAAAAAAUUAAUUACGCUGUUAUCCCUAAAGUAACUUUUUCCUUUAACUAAAAAUUUUAAUUCAAAUAUUCAUUAAAUAAUGUAAAAUUUUAAAAAAAGUUUAAAAAUUUUUUUUAUCACCCCAAUAAAAUAAAUAAUAAAAUUAAAAUAUUUAUAAAUCCAAAAAAAUUAAAAUUAACAUUUAUAAAGUUUUAUAGGGUCUUAUCGUCCCUUUAAAUAAUUUAAGCUUUUUUACUUAAAAAUAAAAUUUUAAUUAUAUAAAUAAUAAAGUUUAUUUCUCAUCAAAUCUUUCAUACAAGUCCUCAAUUAAAAGACUAAUUAUUAUGCUACCUUUGCACAGUCAAAAUACUGCAGCUAUUUAAUAAAUCAUUGAGCAGAUCCUAUAUUAAAUUAAACUUAAUACAAUGUUUUUGUUAAACAGAUGAAAAUAAUUUUUGCCGAAUUCAUAAUUUAUAAAUAUAAAUUAUACUAAUUUAAUCAUUAUUACUAAAAAUUAAAUAUUAAUUAAUAAAAUUUAAUAAAAAAAAUAAAUAGAUUUAUAAUAAAUUAAAAAUAAAUAAAUAAUAAAUUUUUACAAACUUAAAAUAAAAAUUUCUAUUCCUAUAAAUUAUUAAAAUAAAUAAAUUAUUAUAUAAAAAUUUUAAGCUUAUCCCUAAAAUAAUUUAAAUUUAAAAUAUUAAUAUAUAAAAUCAAAAUAACUUUUAAAAUUUUAAAUUAAAUUUAAAUCUUAAAUAACUAAAUAUAAUAUAACGAAUUAAAUUUCAAAACUAAUAUUAUUUUAUAAAUAUUUAUAACACAAUAAAUUAAUAAUAAAAUUAACUCUAUAAAUUUUGAGAAAUUAAAAAAAAAUUAAAAAUUUUAAUUAACCCUGAUACAAAAGGUACUAAAAAUAUUCUUUUUUAAAUUUAAUCAAUUCUUUUACAAUACUAUUAAACUAUAAAUCUAUAAAUUAAUUUUUACUAAAUACUAAAACCUUAAAUAAAUAAAUUACUUUUAUAAAAAAACAAUAAAAAACAUAAAUAUUAAUAACUUUAAUU
This 1268-nucleotide ribosomal RNA is filed under the name Macrosiphum albifrons (lupin aphid). RNAcentral describes it as "16S ribosomal RNA". Lineage: Eukaryota; Metazoa; Arthropoda; Insecta; Hemiptera; Aphididae. The record is from RNAcentral.